GCCUUCGUGGUGUAACGGUAGCACACUCGGCGCGUAUGCGAGAGGUCCAGGUUCGAAUCCCGGCGAUGACA
Molecule: transfer RNA, 71 nt
Filed under: Stegodyphus mimosarum
Lineage: Eukaryota; Metazoa; Arthropoda; Arachnida; Araneae; Eresidae
Rfam family: tRNA
About the family: Transfer RNA (tRNA) molecules are approximately 80 nucleotides in length.
Source: Rfam by way of RNAcentral